CCUACGGGAGGCAGCAGUGGGGAAUAUUGCACAAUGGGGGAAACCCUGAUGCAGCGACGCCGCGUGAGUGAAGAAGUAUUUCGGUAUGUAAAGCUCUAUCAGCAGGGAAGAAAAUGACGGUACCGGAUUAAUAACCCCCCGCUAACUACGUGCCAGCAGCCGCGGUAUUACGUAGGGGGCAAGCGUGAUCCGGAUGUACUGGGUGGAAAGGGAGCGUAGACGGCAGCACAAGUCUGGUGUGAAAUGCCGGGGCUUAACCCCGGCACUGCAUUUGAAACUGUGCAGCUAGAGUGCAGGAGAGGUAAGUGGAAUUCCUAGUGUAGCGGUGAAAUGCGUAGAUAUUAGGAGGAACACCAGUGGCGAAGGCGGCUUACUGGACUGUAACUGACGUUGAGGCUCGAAAGCGUGGGGAGCAAACAGGAUUAGAUACCCCGGUAGUC
Molecule: ribosomal RNA, 440 nt
Filed under: uncultured bacterium
Lineage: Bacteria
Description: partial 16S ribosomal RNA
Rfam family: Bacterial small subunit ribosomal RNA
Source: RNAcentral